GACGAACGCUGGCGGCGUGCUUAACACAUGCAAGUCGAACGAUGAAGCCUUCGGGUGGAUUAGUGGCGAACGGGUGAGUAACACGUGGGUGAUCUGCCCUGCACUUCGGGAUAAGCUUGGGAAACUGGGUCUAAUACCGGAUAGGACCAUGCCAUGCAUGUGGUGUGGUGGAAAGCUUUUGCGGUGUGGGAUGAGCCCGCGGCCUAUCAGCUUGUUGGUGGGGUGAUGGCCUACCAAGGCGUCGACGGGUAGCCGGCCUGAGAGGGUGUCCGGCCACACUGGGACUGAGAUACGGCCCAGACUCCUACGGGAGGCAGCAGUGGGGAAUAUUGCACAAUGGGCGCAAGCCUGAUGCAGCGACGCCGCGUGGGGGAUGACGGCCUUCGGGUUGUAAACCUCUUUCAGCACAGACGAAGCGUGAGUGACGGUAUGUGCAGAAGAAGCACCGGCCAACUACGUGCCAGCAGCCGCGGUAAUACGUAGGGUGCGAGCGUUGUCCGGAAUUACUGGGCGUAAAGAGCUUGUAGGUGGUUUGUCGCGUUGUUCGUGAAAUCUCACGGCUUAACUGUGAGCGUGCGGGCGAUACGGGCAGACUAGAGUACUGCAGGGGAGACUGGAAUUCCUGGUGUAGCGGUGGAAUGCGCAGAUAUCAGGAGGAACACCGGUGGCGAAGGCGGGUCUCUGGGCAGUAACUGACGCUGAGAAGCGAAAGCGUGGGGAGCGAACAGGAUUAGAUACCCUGGUAGUCCACGCCGUAAACGGUGGGUACUAGGUGUGGGUUUCCUUCCUUGGGAUCCGUGCCGUAGCUAACGCAUUAAGUACCCCGCCUGGGGAGUACGGCCGCAAGGCUAAAACUCAAAGGAAUUGACGGGGGCCCGCACAAGCGGCGGAGCAUGUGGAUUAAUUCGAUGCAACGCGAAGAACUUACCUGGGCUUGACAUGCACUAGAAACACCUAGAGAUAGGUGCCCCCUUGUGGUUGGUGUGCAGGUGGUGCAUGGCUGUCGUCAGCUCGUGUCGUGAGAUGUUGGGUUAAGUCCCACAACGAGCGCAACCCUUGUCUCAUGUUGCCAGCGGGUAAUGCCGGGGACUCGUGAGAGACUGCCGGGGUCAACUCGGAGGAAGGUGGGGAUGACGUCAAGUCAUCAUGCCCCUUAUGUCCAGGGCUUCACACAUGCUACAAUGGCCGGUACAAAGGGCUGCGAUGCCGUGAGGUGGAGCGAAUCCUUUAAAGCCGGUCUCAGUUCGGAUCGGGGUCUGCAACUCGACCCCGUGAAGUCGGAGCCGCUAGUAAUCGCAGAUCAGCAACGCUGCGGUGAAUACGUUCCCGGGCCU
RNAcentral lists this ribosomal RNA (1334 nucleotides) under uncultured bacterium. RNAcentral's name for it is "bacterial SSU rRNA". It matches the Rfam family "Bacterial small subunit ribosomal RNA", at positions 28 to 1381 of the family's 1533-position model. The record is from RNAcentral.